AAUCAACGCUGGCGGCGUGCCUCAGACAUGCAAGUCGAACGCGAAAGUCCCCUUCGGGGGACAAGUAGAGUGGCGCACGGGUGAGUAACACGUAGGUAAUCUACCUUCGGAUGGGGAAUAACAACCGGAAACGGUUGCUAAUACCGCAUAAUGCAGCGGCACCUAAUGGUGACAGUUGUUAAAGCGGGGGAUCGAAAGACCUCGCGUCUGAAGAGGAGCCUGCGGCGGAUUAGCUAGUGGUAAGGUAAUGGCUUACCAAGGCGACGAUCCGUAGCCGGCCUGAGAGGGCGGUCGGCCACACUGACACUGACAUACGGGUCAGACUCCUACGGGAGGCAGCAGUCGGGAAUUUUGGGCAAUGGGCGAAAGCCUGACCCAGCAACGCCG
RNAcentral lists this ribosomal RNA (387 nucleotides) under uncultured bacterium. RNAcentral's name for it is "bacterial SSU rRNA". It matches the Rfam family "Bacterial small subunit ribosomal RNA", at positions 32 to 399 of the family's 1533-position model. The record is from RNAcentral.